GGGUGCUGCAUGUCUCAGUAUAGCAAUCUAUACUGUGAAACUGCGAAUGGCUCAUUAAAUCAGUUAUCGUUUAUUUGAUAGUACCUUACUACAUGGAUACCUGUGGUAAUUCUAGAGCUAAUACAUGCUAAAAACCCCGACUUCGGGAGGGGUGUAUUUAUUAGAUAAAAAACCAAUGCCCCUCGGGGCUCCUUGGUGAAUCAUAAUAACUUAACGAAUCGCAUGGCCUUGCGCCGGCGAUGGUUCAUUCAAAUUUCUGCCCUAUCAACUUUCGAUGGUAGGAUAGUGGCCUACCAUGGUGGCAACGGGUAACGGGGAAUUAGGGUUCGAUUCCGGAGAGGGAGCCUGAGAAACGGCUACCACAUCCAAGGAAGGCAGCAGGCGCGCAAAUUACCCAAUCCCGACACGGGGAGGUAGUGACAAUAAAUACUGAUACGGGGCUCUUUUGGGUCUCGUAAUUGGAAUGAGUACAAUCUAAAUCCCUUAACGAGGAACAAUUGGAGGGCAAGUCUGGUGCCAGCAGCCGCGGUAAUUCCAGCUCCAAUAGCGUAUAUUAAAGUUGUUGCAGUUAAAAAGCUCGUAGUUGAACCUUGGGUCUGGCUGGCCGGUCCGCCUCACCGCGAGUACUGGUCCGGCUGGACCUUUCCUUCUGGGGAAUCCCAUGGCCUUCACUGGCUGUGGGUGGAACCAGGACUUUUACUGUGAAAAAAUUAGAGUGUUCAAAGCACGCCUUUGCUCGAAUACAUUAGCAUCGCAAUAAUAGAAUACGACGUGCAGUUCUAUUUUGUUGGGCUCUAGGACCGCCGUAAUGAAUAAUACGGAUAGUCGGGGGCGUCAGCAUUCAACUGUCAGAGGUGAAAUUCCUGGACUAUGCCGAAUACUAACUACUGCGAAGCAUUCACCAAGGAUAAUAUCACGAUCGUGCUAUGAAAGUAUUCCGAUCGAAGACGUUCAGAUAACGUCUGCUCUUAACCUCUACUAUGUCCACAUAAGAAAUACUGCGGUUCUCUCCUAUGAUCACUCGAAUGGC
This 1030-nucleotide ribosomal RNA is filed under the name Aspergillus versicolor. RNAcentral describes it as "bacterial SSU rRNA". It matches the Rfam family "Eukaryotic small subunit ribosomal RNA", at positions 42 to 1089 of the family's 1831-position model. Lineage: Eukaryota; Fungi; Ascomycota; Eurotiomycetes; Eurotiales; Aspergillaceae. The record is from RNAcentral.